RNAcentral lists this ribosomal RNA (253 nucleotides) under uncultured bacterium. Its description in RNAcentral is "partial 16S ribosomal RNA". It matches the Rfam family "Bacterial small subunit ribosomal RNA", at positions 524 to 776 of the family's 1533-position model. The record is from RNAcentral.
UACGUAGGGUGCAAGCGUUGUCCGGAAUUAUUGGGCGUAAAGAGCUCGUAGGCGGUCUGUCGCGUCUGCUGUGAAAAUCCAGGGCUCAACCCUGGACCUGCAGUGGGUACGGGCAGACUAGAGUGCGGGAUGGGAAAGUGGAAUUCCUGGUGUAGCGGUGAAAUGCGUAGAUAUCAGGAGGAACACCGGUGGUGUAGACGGCCUUCUGGACCGUAACUGACGCUGAGGCGCGAAAGCGUGGGGAGCAAACAGG